Molecule: long non-coding RNA, 303 nt
Filed under: Nicotiana benthamiana
Lineage: Eukaryota; Viridiplantae; Streptophyta; Magnoliopsida; Solanales; Solanaceae
Description: long non-coding RNA (NBEN_LNC019917)
Source: RNAcentral
CAGAAUUGAAUAAGAGAAAGAAGUAAAUUUAUAUCAGAAAAACUAAAAAUUUCCAACCAAGGAGAGCUUGAUUCAGUCUUUUGUCAAUAGCAUGAAGUAAACUAACUCCAAGAAUUGAAUUCCCAAAGACUUUCUCAUUUUUUGGGGGUGUCAGAGUUCCCAAGAUCCUCAUGAACUUCGGGCAGUGCUUACACCCAAAUUCAUUACAGAAUUGAUGUAUAAUGCAGUGUGGAAGGGCCAGCCCUCAAAUUUCCAAAAUUAGAGGAAACUCAAGGUCCCAAAAGAAGGCUCAUAGGAGGGCGC